GGAAGUCGGAAGCCAAGUAGGGCCAUGCUCUCUCUGGAGGCUCUGGGGUGGGGGUGGGAGGUGCUUCCUGUUCUCUUCCAACUUCCGGGGCCUCCUGGCUCCUCGGCUGUGAGGAUGUCGUUCCAGCUCGGCCUGUAUCUUUGCACAGCCUCCUCCCUGCUAACUGUGUCUUCUCCGUUUCUGUCUUUUAUAAGGACAACCCCCCCCCUGGAUUCAGAGUUCCUGCUCAGUCCAGAUGAUCAUGAUCCCACCUUGAGGUCCUUAAUUACAUCUGCAAAGACCCGAUGCCCACAUUGAGAGGUGCCAGGAGAGAGGACACCGAGGCUCUGAGCCCUUCUAAGACGCACCCAACCCAAGCGGCACCACUGGAAGGUGGCAGGUCUGGGACUCACAGCUUUGUGGCAAAGAAAACAGCAAUUGCAAAAAUUCAGACAAGUUCUCAGACUGCAGAUUUCUGAUCCUGAGAAUUCCCUCCAGCCAGGAUGGGCUGGCAGUGCUGACUGGCACCACGCCUGGCUUCCCUUCCUCCCAGCUCCAGACCCCCACCUGCUGGGCACCAUCUUGUCUCCCAUCCUUGGGAGACAUUUACCUAAAAUUAACGGGACGUGAUGAUCUGACUUAUAGAGGAGCUCCGUGCCUUUUUCCUUCACUCUUUCUCAUGUUAAAAGCGCCCCCAAUUUUCUUUAGGAGAACCGCAGCUCACUCUCUCUGGAUCCUAUGUCCUCCAUUUGCUCCUCCCACCCCCAGCGCCUGGGAUAGGAAGUGACCCAGGGCAGGCCAAUGAGAUUCCUACAUCCCCUCUCUCUAUGGGGAUUGGUUCGGGCAUAUGCACAUGACCCAAGAAGAGCCAAUCAGAGCCAAGGACCAAAGAUAACGUGGGUGAAGGCUGCUGUCAUUGUAGUUGCUGCUUCCAGUAGCUGGGGACCAUCUUUGCCAAUGUCUGAGGAUAAACUCCCCAAGGAUGAAGAUAGUGCAGAGGAAACACAGCUGGGACUUCAAAGGAGGAAGAUCUUCAAUGACAUUGCUUGAGGACCUGGAUCCAGCUGUGCCUGAAGUCCUCGAGGAGAAAAUGAGUAGGUUUUGCCUCAGCCACUUUGCGUCAGGUGGCUGUCACACUCGGCCCCACCCGCGUAACGGCUAACAUCCACUGAACACUGUCAUAGUUUGGGUCACCCUGAAAGCUGAGGUUGACUCGGUGCAGAUAACUUUCAUGACAGUAGU
Long non-coding RNA from Fukomys damarensis (Damara mole-rat), 1221 nucleotides. RefSeq lists it as uncharacterized. The transcript is spliced from 3 exons. The record is from RefSeq and is a predicted model, not a curated record. NCBI's taxonomy places the organism in Eukaryota, Metazoa, Chordata, Mammalia, Rodentia, Bathyergidae.